GCACAUCAGGGCCACCGAUCACCUAAUCAUGUCCGAAUUUGUCCUCAGCCAUCCGAUCAUGAUCAGCUACGAUCUGAGCCAUUAGAUUGCAUAGAAAACCACCUGAACUAUGCGUGGACCAUGACGUCGGUCCACGCAGUCCCAUGGACCAUGCAGCACCCUGCGGUUCACGGUGGAUCGUGCAGGGUGCUGGGUCACCUGCAUGCAUUGGGC
RNAcentral lists this long non-coding RNA (213 nucleotides) under Elaeis guineensis (African oil palm). RNAcentral's name for it is "long non-coding RNA (EGUI_LNC019023)". The record is from RNAcentral. Lineage: Eukaryota; Viridiplantae; Streptophyta; Magnoliopsida; Arecales; Arecaceae.